RNAcentral lists this small RNA (668 nucleotides) under Pan troglodytes (chimpanzee). RNAcentral's name for it is "processed transcript". The record is from RNAcentral. Lineage: Eukaryota; Metazoa; Chordata; Mammalia; Primates; Hominidae.
GAAACGGCGGCGGCGGCGGCGGCAUCGGCAGCAGUAGCAGAGGCUGUAGCAUCGGACACCCUCCUCUCUCCCGCAAACCGGUUCCUCUUUCCCCUCCUUCUCACUGUUUGUUGUGUGUUUGAUGUGUUAAAGCAGGAGCGAGAACCCGAGCAGCGCCAUGAGCAACACUACCGUCGUCCCCAGCACUGCAGGUCCGGGCCCCAGCGGCGGGCCCGGUGGCGGAGGUGGUGGUGGCGGCGGAGGCGGCGGCACCGAGGUAAUCCAGGUGACUAAUGUCUCCCCGAGCGCUAGCUCUGAGCAGAUGCGGACUCUCUUCGGUUUCCUAGGCAAGAUCGACGAACUGCGCCUCUUCCCGCCGGAUGAUUCGCCUUUGCCAGUCUCAUCUCGUGUCUGCUUUGUUAAGUUCCAUGAUCCAGACUCAGCAGUUGUGGCACAGCAUCUGACAAACACUGUAUUCGUUGACAGAGCUUUGAUAGUCGUACCAUAUGCAGAAGUUCUUUUCCCUGGUUCAGCCUGAACUAUAUACCAGGCCCUGCUGAAAAUACCACCCAACAGUUUUCUUCUGCAGCUUAUCCAGUUUCUCUUAAGUGCCCUGUACAUAUUGUAUGUUUUAUGAUGAGAUGCAGUUUCUUAAUAUGUAUUACAGAAAUACUACUGGUAUUUGCAAA